ACAUGCAAGUCGAACGAUGAAGCGCCAGCUUGCUGGUGUGGAUUAGUGGCGAACGGGUGAGUAACACGUGAGUAACCUGCCCCCUACUCUGGGAUAAGCCUGGGAAACUGGGUCUAAUACUGGAUAUGACCAAUCACUGCAUGGUGUGUUGGUGGAAAGAUUUUUUGGUGGGGGAUGGACUCGCGGCCUAUCAGCUUGUUGGUGGGGUAAUGGCCUACCAAGGCGACGACGGGUAGCCGGCCUGAGAGGGCGACCGGCCACACUGGGACUGAGACACGGCCCAGACUCCUACGGGAGGCAGCAGUGGGGAAUAUUGCACAAUGGGCGAAAGCCUGAUGCAGCGACGCCGCGUGAGGGAUGACGGCCUUCGGGUUGUAAACCUCUUUCACCAGGGACGAAGCUAACGUGACGGUACCUGGAGAAGAAGCACCGGCUAACUACGUGCCAGCAGCCGCGGUAAUACGUAGGGUGCGAGCGUUGUCCGGAAUUAUUGGGCGUAAAGAGCUUGUAGGCGGUUUGUCGCGUCUGCUGUGAAAGACCGGGGCUUAACUCCGGUUCUGCAGUGGGUACGGGCAGACUAGAGUAUGGUAGGGGAGACUGGAAUUCCUGGUGUAGCGGUGAAAUGCGCAGAUAUCAGGAGGAACACCGAUGGCGAAGGCAGGUCUCUGGGCCAUUACUGACGCUGAGAAGCGAAAGCAUGGGGAGCGAACAGGAUUAGAUACCCUGGUAGUCCAUGCCGUAAACGUUGGGCGCUAGGUG
This 759-nucleotide ribosomal RNA is filed under the name Dermacoccus sp. RNAcentral describes it as "bacterial SSU rRNA". It matches the Rfam family "Bacterial small subunit ribosomal RNA", at positions 53 to 822 of the family's 1533-position model. The record is from RNAcentral. Lineage: Bacteria; Bacillati; Actinomycetota; Actinomycetes; Micrococcales; Dermacoccaceae.